GUUCAGUCACUGAUCAGCAUGCAACACAUUUAUCUUCUUGGUUACAAAAGGCUGAAUGCGGUCCAAGCAGGGGACUAGUUGGGGUUGAGUGCAGGCCGAUGAAGGCUGCAGUUUACUAAAUGCCAGACUGGUGGGAUUGCAAAAGAAGUGGAAUGAUAUAUGCCAGCGUCUUCAUCACAUACAUUCAUUUCAACCAGAUGCUUUGCAAGCCAGGUCACAUAUUUCUAGUUUGGGCAUCUUUCAGAGUACUUCUGCUGGGGGCGAAAGCAGAAACAAAGAUUUAUUGUUGGAUGCAAGACUUACUAAUCAAAGUUCAAUGUCACCAGACUUGCAAAAUACCUGCUGGAUCAAAA
Molecule: unclassified non-coding RNA, 353 nt
Filed under: Hevea brasiliensis (rubber tree)
Lineage: Eukaryota; Viridiplantae; Streptophyta; Magnoliopsida; Malpighiales; Euphorbiaceae
Source: RNAcentral